This 216-nucleotide ribosomal RNA is filed under the name Campeiostachys nutans. RNAcentral's name for it is "Elymus nutans partial small subunit ribosomal RNA". The stretch from base 40 to 216 matches the Rfam family "Eukaryotic small subunit ribosomal RNA", at positions 686 to 864 of the family's 1831-position model. Lineage: Eukaryota; Viridiplantae; Streptophyta; Magnoliopsida; Poales; Poaceae. The record is from RNAcentral.
GGGUCAGUAGGUUGGUCAUGCCUCUGGUAUGCACUGGUCUCACUGAUUCCUCCUUCCUGAUGAACCGUAAUGCCAUUAAUUUGGUGUUGCGGGGAACUUGGACUGUUACUUUGAAUAAAUUAGAGUGUUUAAAGCAAGCUAACGCUUGAAUACAUUAGCAUGGAAUAAUGAAAUAGGACGUCCGAUCCUAUUUUGUUGAUUUCUAGGAUUGACGUA